GAUGAACGCUGGCGGUGUGCCUAAUACAUGCAAGUCGAACGCGUUGGCCCAAUUGAUUGAUGGUGCUUGCACCUGAUUGAUUUUGGUCGCCAACGAGUGGCGGACGGGUGAGUAACACGUAGGUAACCUGCCCAGAAGCGGGGGACAACAUUUGGAAACAGAUGCUAAUACCGCAUAACAGCGUUGUUCGCAUGAACAACGCUUAAAAGAUGGCUUCUCGCUAUCACUUCUGGAUGGACCUGCGGUGCAUUAGCUUGUUGGUGGGGUAAUGGCCUACCAAGGCGAUGAUGCAUAGCCGAGUUGAGAGACUGAUCGGCCACAAUGGGACUGAGACACGGCCCAUACUCCUACGGGAGGCAGCAGUAGGGAAUCUUCCACAAUGGGCGCAAGCCUGAUGGAGCAACACCGCGUGAGUGAAGAAGGGUUUCGGCUCGUAAAGCUCUGUUGUUAAAGAAGAACACGUAUGAGAGUAACUGUUCAUACGUUGACGGUAUUUAACCAGAAAGUCACGGCUAACUACGUGCCAGCAGCCGCGGUAAUACGUAGGUGGCAAGCGUUAUCCGGAUUUAUUGGGCGUAAAGAGAGUGCAGGCGGUUUUCUAAGUCUGAUGUGAAAGCCUUCGGCUUAACCGGAGAAGUGCAUCGGAAACUGGAUAACUUGAGUGCAGAAGAGGGUAGUGGAACUCCAUGUGUAGCGGUGGAAUGCGUAGAUAUAUGGAAGAACACCAGUGGCGAAGGCGGCUACCUGGUCUGCAACUGACGCUGAGACUCGAAAGCAUGGGUAGCGAACAGGAUUAGAUACCCUGGUAGUCCAUGCCGUAAACGAUGAGUGCUAGGUGUUGGAGGGUUUCCGCCCUUCAGUGCCGGAGCUAACGCAUUAAGCACUCCGCCUGGGGAGUACGACCGCAAGGUUGAAACUCAAAGGAAUUGACGGGGGCCCGCACAAGCGGUGGAGCAUGUGGUUUAAUUCGAAGCUACGCGAAGAACCUUACCAGGUCUUGACAUCUUGCGCCAACCCUAGAGAUAGGGCGUUUCCUUCGGGAACGCAAUGACAGGUGGUGCAUGGUCGUCGUCAGCUCGUGUCGUGAGAUGUUGGGUUAAGUCCCGCAACGAGCGCAACCCUUGUUACUAGUUGCCAGCAUUAAGUUGGGCACUCUAGUGAGACUGCCGGUGACAAACCGGAGGAAGGUGGGGACGACGUCAGAUCAUCAUGCCCCUUAUGACCUGGGCUACACACGUGCUACAAUGGACGGUACAACGAGUCGCGAACUCGCGAGGGCAAGCAAAUCUCUUAAAACCGUUCUCAGUUCGGACUGCAGGCUGCAACUCGCCUGCACGAAGUCGGAAUCGCUAGUAAUCGCGGAUCAGCAUGCCGCGGUGAAUACGUUCCCGGGCCUUGUACACACCGCCCGUCACACCAUGAGAGUUUGUAACACCCAAAGUCGGUGGGGUAACCUUUUAGGAGCCAGCCGCCUAAGGUGGGACAGAUGAUUAGGGUG
Molecule: ribosomal RNA, 1498 nt
Filed under: Limosilactobacillus fermentum
Lineage: Bacteria; Bacillati; Bacillota; Bacilli; Lactobacillales; Lactobacillaceae
Description: bacterial SSU rRNA
Rfam family: Bacterial small subunit ribosomal RNA
Source: RNAcentral